Long non-coding RNA from Pieris napi, 1273 nucleotides. RefSeq lists it as uncharacterized. The transcript is spliced from 3 exons. NCBI's taxonomy places the organism in Eukaryota, Metazoa, Arthropoda, Insecta, Lepidoptera, Pieridae. The record is from RefSeq and is a predicted model, not a curated record.
AAUUAUUAUUUUCACUGAUCAAUCUCCAUCGUGCCUUCUCCAUCUACACGACACUGGCGAAGUACCUUGUGCCCAGUUGGCACAAAUAAAAGCCAUUAAAAAAAAAAAAAUCUAGGGUUAAGUAAUGGAGGAGAAAACGCAAAGCUAAUUGCAGAUGUCGCUUUCAUCGCUUGACCCAUGACAAUACGCUGUCAGUAUUCAGCAUUUCUUUCGUAAACCUAAGAUUUAGUAAAUCUUAAAAGGUGUUCACAAGUGAAAACUGCUGAAAAAUGUAUUCGACUUGGACUGUACCUCAAUUAAAAGCAGAAUUGAAGACUCGGGGCGGUUCUUUAAAAGGCAGAAAGGCAAAUCUUGACACGAGGCUCGAAUGUUUCGAGCGAAAUUUCAAUUUUGUUAAACAGCAAGUUCAUGAAACGGAUGAUGUUAAAAUGGAUUUACCAUCCAUUGAUGUAUAUCGGGACAUCAAUGCAAGCACAAGCCUUCCUCCCAUGACGAAACAACAUAUUCUAUAAUAUUACAAUGAAUUCCAUAAAAAGCAAGUUGACGGGCUGCAAUUGUAUGAAGCAAGAUUUUUAGUAGUUGUUAGAGCAGCUACAGUAGGUGAAUAUACCUUUGUUAAAGGCAUAACUCGUGCUUCGAUAAAACGGCUUCAAUAUGAAGUGAACAUUAAGAUACAUGCUAGAGGAUCAAUAAAGGAAUCUCAAUGUGAAUGUGUGGCAGGUAGUGGUACAAAUGCCCAUUGCAAGCAUGUGGCUACUGUGCUCUAUGCCAUAGAGCAUAUGGUGCGUGAAAAAAUUAUAAUUAAACAUCAAGUGCCAACAGAAAAAUUGCAAAAGUUUUAUGUGCCACAGAAAGUUUUCACUGCAUCUCCUAUGAUAACUUAAACUACCCAUGAAAAGAAAUGUGGAAAAUACAAUAUUUUCCCCAUGCUCUAUGCUAGUGGACAAAGAAGAAUAUAAGAAAAGAUUUAGAAGUUUGAUCCUAAAUCACCCAUUAAAAAUGCCAAUUAAACACUUGUAUGAGCCAGCAAAUCCCUAUGCGGUGGAAAGGGAUCAUACUUAUUGUAAGGAAAAUGCUGAAACCAACCUUUUAAUUCUGUAAUGUUUUAGUCUAUACUUAUAAAGAUCUGAAAGUGAUUUACGAGGAAAGGUAUGAAAAAUUUAUCAAUUGUGAUAACAGUAUUGGACAAAUUUUAUGUGGAAUAUUUUAAAAAGGCCCUACUUAAUAAAUAUAUUUAUAAGAAUUACUUAGAAACAUUAAAACCCACUGAUUA